GCCCAGCAGAGUCUGGUCAACCAUGAUAAGUCUCUGAUCUCGGCCAUACCUCCGACACCAAUGCAAUGAUUCGCCUGGUAGCGUACUGGUUCGGGUCGUACGACGCCCUCACCGCCGACAUCAGUACAAUGAUUCGCCUGACCGUGCGCCGACCUGAGCCACAUGCCGAGCCGUACUAUGGCCUUGCCCUGUUACAUCACAGGUAAACCGACCCCCACCUAUAAAAGGGAGCCUUGGCCUCUCAGGAGGGGGUUGGGAAAUUCCGCGCCUUACAAGCACUGUUCAUCUCCUCCUUACACUAUC
Molecule: long non-coding RNA, 303 nt
Filed under: Phoenix dactylifera (date palm)
Lineage: Eukaryota; Viridiplantae; Streptophyta; Magnoliopsida; Arecales; Arecaceae
Description: long non-coding RNA (PDAC_LNC014806)
Source: RNAcentral